UGUCCUACGGGGGGCAGCAGUGAGGAAUAUUGGUCAAUGGCCGGAAGGCUGAACCAGCCAAGCCGCGUGAAGGACGAAGGUGCCAAGCAUUGUAAACUUCUUUUGUCAAGGGACAAAAUCAGGCUCGAGAGCCUGACCGAGGGUACUUGAAGAAAAAGCAUCGGCUAACUCCGUGCCAGCAGCCGCGGUAAUACGUAGGUGGCAAGCGUUGUCCGGAAUUACUGGGUGUAAAGGGAGCGCAGGCGGGAAGCCAAGUCAGCUGUGAAAACUACGGGCUUAACUUGUAGACUGCAGUUGAAACUGGG
Molecule: ribosomal RNA, 305 nt
Filed under: uncultured bacterium
Lineage: Bacteria
Description: bacterial SSU rRNA
Rfam family: Bacterial small subunit ribosomal RNA
Source: RNAcentral